UUUAUGUUUUUUUAAAAACAAAUUAUAAGCUCAAGAAUUCACACCAAUAAACUGUAAUAAUGAUAUAUGAGAAUUGAAAAAAUAGGAGAACAUCAAUUUGGCCUAUCAUAAAUAAUUGUCUUACGAAGUGAAACGUAUUUCGAAAAGUACAAACAAAGUUACAUUCUAAAAAUAGUUAACUAAGAAAAUAUAAUUGUUACUUAUUUAAAGAAUGAUCUAAUUAUAGAUUGAAGAGAAAGGAAGAAUUACCACACUAUAAUAUAUACAAAUAAUUUCUCUCAAAGGAAUUGCAGCUAGUGAUAGUUAGAAUAUAUUAUUUACAUGUGAAUUUUUUGU
RNAcentral lists this long non-coding RNA (336 nucleotides) under Solanum tuberosum (potato). RNAcentral describes it as "long non-coding RNA (STUB_LNC003941)". The record is from RNAcentral. Lineage: Eukaryota; Viridiplantae; Streptophyta; Magnoliopsida; Solanales; Solanaceae.